This 355-nucleotide unclassified non-coding RNA is filed under the name soil metagenome. RNAcentral's name for it is "partial contains 5.8S ribosomal RNA, internal transcribed spacer 2, and large subunit ribosomal RNA". The stretch from base 1 to 120 matches the Rfam family "5.8S ribosomal RNA", at positions 35 to 154 of the family's 154-position model. The record is from RNAcentral.
GAUGAAGAACGCAGCGAAAUGCGAUAAGUAAUGCGAAUUGCAGAAUUCAGUGAAUCAUCGAAUCUUUGAACGCACAUUGCGCCCGCUAGUAUUCUGGCGGGCAUGCCUGUCUGAGCGUCAUUUCAACCCUCGCCCCCGGCUUUUGCUGGGAGCGGUGUUGGGGAUCGGCCGCCCGUCACUGGGAGGCUGGCCCCGAAAUAGAGUGGCGACCACGCCGUGUGCUCCUCUGCGUAGUAGUAAAUCCCCUCGCAGGCGGACAGCGGUGCGGCCUGCCGUAAAACCCCCAACUCUUUCUGGUUGACCUCAGAUCAGGUAGGAAUACCCGCUGAACUUAAGCAUAUCAAUAAGCGGAGGA